RNAcentral lists this small RNA (354 nucleotides) under Arabidopsis thaliana (thale cress). RNAcentral describes it as "ATSL051160". The record is from RNAcentral. Lineage: Eukaryota; Viridiplantae; Streptophyta; Magnoliopsida; Brassicales; Brassicaceae.
UAGAAUUUUUAGUAUUAAGUUGUGGAUACCAAAAAUAGAGGAGAAACUCCUAUAUUUAUAUAUUAUUAAAACGGUUUAAGGAUAAGUUAAACUUCUAAUUUUUUGGGGUUUGAAUCUUCUAUUUUCCGUUCUUUCUGCGAUUCUUCUGUAUCCAAAAAGAAAUCUUAGUUUUUCAAAUUAAGAAAUCAGUUGGGCGAUGUUUCUACUAUGGGUUGAGGUCUAACGACCUCGUUGUUCAGACGAGGUCUAUUGACGAUCUCUUUAUUUUGGCCCAUUAGCAGGUUGCAUUGGGGCAGCCCGGUUUAAUUGAAAUAUCAGUUUAUUCGCAAUUCUUCUUAUUUAAGUCCGUAUUGU